This 429-nucleotide ribosomal RNA is filed under the name Chloroflexota bacterium. Its description in RNAcentral is "Chloroflexi bacterium partial 16S ribosomal RNA". It matches the Rfam family "Bacterial small subunit ribosomal RNA", at positions 355 to 776 of the family's 1533-position model. The record is from RNAcentral. Lineage: Bacteria; Bacillati; Chloroflexota.
UGGGGAAUAUUGCACAAUGGGCGCAAGCCUGAUGCAGCCAUGCCGCGUGUAUGAAGAAGGCCUUCGGGUUGUAAAGUACUUUCAGCGGGGAGGAAGGGAGUAAAGUUAAUAACUUUGCUCAUUGACGUUACCCGCAGAAGAAGCACCGGCUAACUCCGUGCCAGCAGACGCGGUAAUACGGAGGGUGCAAGCGUUAGUCGGAAUUACUGGGCGUAAAGCGCACGCAGGCGGUUUGUUAAGUCAGAUGUGAAAUCCCAGGGCUCAACCUGGGAACUGCAUCUGAUACUGGCAAGCUUGAGUCUCGUAGAGGGGGGUAGAAUUCCAGGUGUAGCGGUGAAAUGCGUAGAGAUCUGGAGGAAUACCGGUGGCGAAGGCGGCCCCCUGGACGAAGACUGACGCUCAGGUGCGAAAGCGUGGGGAGCAAACAGG